AUUCUACUUAAAAUCAGGCUCAAAUGAACUCGCAAUGAGAAACUUUUGGUAUUCUCUCUGAUUUAUAUCUAGAUUGCUGAAAUGUUGUGCACAGUUUAAUAUCUGCUUUUUCAAAAAGAAACCAUUGAUGGUUCCUGGAUUUUUGUUACUGAAACGUACGCCCGUCAUGAGGUGCUUGGUACCUAUUAUUCAUUUAACAGUUGUUCUUCUUAUUCAAGGCUCAGGCGCUCAGCUACAAGUACAACUAGUGAAUGGAACAUCAUAUUGGAAUGGCCGUUUAGAAAUAUUACACAAUGGAACAUGGACCACAGUGUGCAGCAAUUAUUUUGGAAAAGAAGAGGCACAGGUAGCCUGCAAAAUGCUUGGUUUGGACAGUUCGCGGGCCAUGGCUGUGGGGUCAGGUCAGUAUGGUGAAGGUUCAGGUCUCAUCCUCUUUGGCAACGUCACGUGCACAGGGAAGGAGUCGAGUUUUGAUGAGUGUCAACAUGAUGGAUUUUACAGGCGCGACUGCAGACACAAUGAUGAUGUCGGUAUCAUCUGUAAUAUCAAACCAUUACGACUUCGCUUGACGAGUGUUUUUGGAGACAGAUCAGACAUAAACCGUGUUGAGAUGGAACUCGGAACACAGUGGAACUCACUUUGCAUGACUCGCAAUGCUGCUAAAGUUGUCUGUAGACAGCUCGGCUUAUCACAGCAUGCUGCAUUGUAUAGGAAUGUAUCAAUGCAGAAGGACAUUUUAUCUGAAAAAAACAAGCACUCUGAACUCGAUAUAAAGUUUCUCUGCCUUGGGAAUGAGACAAGCCUUUUGGAGUGCGACCGUUAUGGACCGAACAAAGAUGUUGUUUGCGGAUUAUAUAACAGCGUCAACUGUAAUGAGUCAAUACCUCCUCUUCGUAUCCUGUAUAACGAGGCUUCAUUCCCGCUGCUUGAUGGAGCAAAUUUAACUCUAGAAUGUGAGAUCACACAGUCUGGGGAAUUAGAAUUUACAUACCUGUGGUUUGAGUAUUCAAGGAUACGUCUUCAGAGUCAGUAUGGAAAGUACCUAAUAUUUAAUAAUGUGACUAAAGACCAUCAUGAACUUCGAGUGUACUGUGGAGCCAACUAUUGGUACAAUGGUCUCCAUUACCUUGUCGCAAGUGACGUCAUGAUAAUUACGGUUUGCUGUACCCCGUCGACAAUCAUGCAUAACACAGAACCGACCUCUGUGUAUAUCCGUGACGACAAAGGUUAUCUAACGAUUGAAAUGACAGCCUAUCCCAUCCCUCAAGUGACAGCCACUAUGUACCUUGGUCCAGUUCUGACUGAUGGUGUCAAAGGUGAAGAUACAAGCAACACGACACGUGUAAUAUGUGCUGAUGUCGGUCUGGCACGUGCAUCAGUGUCGUGUAACAUCACUGUCUUUAACAUAUCACAAGCUGCUGAUGGCUUCUACAAAAUUGUUUUCGACAACAAACUUGGGCAGCUGCCUUAUAUAUUCACAAUCAGGCGUCAAGAGCGCAGAGGAGAAAUACCAUCGGCAUUUUUGUUGACUUUUGUCGGCGCAUUUGUUGUUGGCAUUGUUAUCUUCGCUUCUGUAACAGUCUACUGCGUCAGACGUUGGACAGGUAAGUUAAUUAGGCUUGUGGUUUGAUUACAAUGUCUGUGUUGUCAUUUAGGAACAAAUUUCACAAGUUACUGGAUAUUUCAAACUCAGCUUUUAUGCUUUUUAAUCAACAAUGGAUCACAAGCGAAACAGGAAAACGAAAAAGUCCGGUUUAAUUUAAAUAUUUCUUGUUGCCAUUGUCGAGCAAUACUCCGUUGACUUAAAUUGGAACGGCAGCAAAAACUUCUAUGUACAGAAGAAAAUACACUUGUUGCUUAAAGGACUUCGACCUCUAUACAGACUGUGGGCAUCUUAUGAACCAGUUUGGGGAGUAUUGACUACUGUUCCUGUGCAUCUCUGGGGUCUUGGUCGUCUGGAGCCGGUGCCGGACCACUGUCGCCUGAGAUCGCCACCGCAUCUGUCGUCCGUUGCCUGGGGCAACCAGAGAGGUAGCGGUGCCAGUGAGCUAGGGACAGUGCGUUUGAAGACUCA
Molecule: unclassified non-coding RNA, 2074 nt
Filed under: Pomacea canaliculata
Lineage: Eukaryota; Metazoa; Mollusca; Gastropoda; Architaenioglossa; Ampullariidae
Description: uncharacterized LOC112569305, transcript variant X1
Source: RNAcentral